UGCUGCACAGAGCGCUGCUCGACAGGAAGAAAAGAGAUGUGAGGCACUGCAAUUAAGUGAUUAUGCAAAUCUAAACAGGGAUUUUGUUUUAAAGUAUUUUCCAGAAUGAACAUGAUGUGAUUGCAAAAGACAUGUGAGCCACUCUCGGAGCCAAGAAACAGGAACGGCCUGGCCCUGCAGAAUACACACCUGGGAAUAACUGAGCCAGUCACUGGAUGUCACCAUUGAGCUGCAGAAAUGUGGCUUGAAGUUCAUUAUUUAUCUGCUUUUAAAAGUACUAGUUUUUAAGGAAAGCAUCGGUCACUGGAAACCCUUGGUCCGUGUAGUGAAAAUCCCAUGUACACCCAUUUCCUUCCAGCUGCUGACGGUGAUGAGACGGGACAGCCAGUGACUGGGAGUUUCUCUGAUGUCAGAUAACCAUCUCGAUGCACGUCUGAGAUGCCUUUCAACUCCGACUGCCUCAGCUGUCACCCAGCCACUGCUCUGGAGAAAGAUAAACUUCUGCCUUCUCCUGUUUCUCUUUCCCCUCUGCCAUUGUAAGUCACACUUAAGGCUUGCAUUGAUUCUCCAACAUAUUGUGGAGACGAGGAGCAGGGAGGCACCAGAGCAAGCUGCAUUCAAUUACACAGCCAUGAACUGACACCUGCCAGGUCUCUCACACAGCAUCUGAUCACCAAUUAAGGGGAUGAUUUAUGGUUUAAAGAGAGAAUGCCCUUCCUGUCUCAUGGCUUAGUUGUUUGGGGAAGAGGCCAACUCACAGACAGCAAGAAGAAAUUGGGGUUUCUUGGCAAACCAAGAUCUUCAGAUGCAAACUUCACUCAUGGGCUCAUUAGCACCAAACACAAGAUAAACUUGACCUGUGUUACAGUGUCCAUCCUUUGGGCAUACCAGAGAAAUCACUCCAGCCCUAUUCAAUACCCUGGGCAGCAUGUGGACUUCUAAUUAGAGUGAGUAAUUUUUUUUAUUUCUCUCCCUGGAAGUUCUGAGGAAUAAGAUCAUUCUUCUAAGUCUAGAAAUAACUCUAUUAAUUUUUUUGAAUGU
Molecule: long non-coding RNA, 1041 nt
Organism: Calidris pygmaea (Spoon-billed sandpiper)
Lineage: Eukaryota; Metazoa; Chordata; Aves; Charadriiformes; Scolopacidae
Source: Ensembl